CCUACGGGAGGCAGCAGUGGGGAAUCUUGCACAAUGGGCGAAAGCCUGAUGCAGCAACGCCGCGUGCGGGAAGAAGGCCCUCGGGUUGUAAACCGCUUUCAGAAGGAACGAAACUGACGGUACUUUCAGAAGAAGGUGCGGCCAACUACGUGCCAGCAGCCGCGGUGACACGUAGGCACCAAGCGUUGUCCGGAUUUAUUGGGCGUAAAGAGCUCGUAGGCGGUUCAGUAAGUCGGGUGUGAAAACUUUGGGCUUAACCCAAAGCGUGCAUCCGAUACUGCUGUGACUUGAGUACGGUAGGGGAGCGGGGAAUUCCUAGUGUAGCGGUGAAAUGCGCAGAUAUUAGGAGGAACACCGGUGGCGAAGGCGCCGCUCUGGGCCGAAACUGACGCUGAGGAGCGAAAGCAUGGGUAGCAAACAGGAUUAGAUACCCUGGUAGUCCAUGCCGUAAACGUUGGGCACUAGGUGUGGGUUCCAACCAACGGAAUCCGCGCCGUCGCUAACGCAUUAAGUGCCCCGCCUGGGGAGUACGGCGCGAGUAAACGUACAAGAAGUAGACGGCGUGAGACGUGCCGACGGACGACGACGAGGGAGAGG
Molecule: ribosomal RNA, 597 nt
Filed under: uncultured bacterium
Lineage: Bacteria
Description: bacterial SSU rRNA
Rfam family: Bacterial small subunit ribosomal RNA (bases 1-521)
Source: RNAcentral